Long non-coding RNA from Octopus bimaculoides (California two-spot octopus), 3529 nucleotides. RefSeq lists it as uncharacterized. The record is from RefSeq and is a predicted model, not a curated record. Lineage: Eukaryota; Metazoa; Mollusca; Cephalopoda; Octopoda; Octopodidae.
GUAAUGAUUACAGUGAUAUAAGUGGUGGUCAUAGUGAUGAUGAAGAUAAUACAGAUGGUGACCAUGAUGAUGCCAAUGCUGACAAUGAAGGUGGACCCCACCCCCAUAACCAUUUGAUGUUUGAAAACUAAUUUUACAUCACUCAGCAAGACAUUUGUCAGCUGCUCUUCAGCUAUCUACUUAAGGUUGUACAUGGCUAUGGUGCAGCCACACUUGGAAUUUGCAUCACCAGUCUGGAACCCCUAUCUUGCUCAGGACACUGACCGCCUUGAAAUUGUUCAGAGAUGUGCAACCAAGUGAAUACCCUCCAUCAGGCAUCUACCAUACUCUGAUCACCUAGCUUUCCUGGGCAGAGAUACAUUGAAGCUCCAACGUCUGGCAACUGAUUUGGUAAACACCCACAAAAUUAUUUACCAUAGUGCCAACAACCACCUUGAGCACCUUUUUGAGCUCCAUGUGUCUAACACACGUGGGCACACCUACAAAGUCAGAAACCAGCACAGCUCUCAUGACUCUCGGAAACAUUUUUUCACACUCAGAGUUACUAACGCAUGGAAUAAACUACCUGCAUCAAUUGCUAGCUGUCAAAACAUUGCAUCCUUUAAAACUUCCAUGCUUCCUGAAAUUCACCAACACUACAACUGAUAUCCCACCCAACUCUAUAAGCAUGCACGCAUGUAUAUCGUGACUCAUACUGUUCACUUUCCUGACUUUUGUACAUAAUUCUUUGAUGAUUUGUAGUGCACCUGAGCACUAUACAUAAUAAUGUCCCACCUAUUGCCAACUCACACCUGUUUCCAGGCAAUGUAAUAUUUCCCCACAACCAAACAUCAUGUUCUGUCAAAGCAAAGAGACAGUAAAACACACACACACUGACAGGUUUCUCUCAAGUUUCCAUCUACCAAAUCCACUCACAAGGGUUUGGUCAGCCCAAGGCUAUAGAAGACACUCUCGCCCAAGGUGCCACAAAGUGGGUCUGAACCAAAACAGUGUGGUUGAGAAGAUGGCUACUUACCACACAACCUGACACCUAUUAAUCCCUUCUAUAACAGUGUCUGUUAGUCUCACUGAGACCACCCUCUAAUUUCUUAGCCUUUCUCAUAUUUUACCUCUCAGUCACAGGGACUCUGAAGCCUUCUAAGUUAAAAAGGUGACCUCACAAGUGCUAAUGGUAUGGAAGAAGCAUCCAGUACCUUCAGUAAAGCAGAUGGUGUUAGGAAAGGCAUCCAACACUGGGGCAAGACAUGAUUCUCCAACCCAUCAGAUUCAAUCAAACCAUCUAACCCAUGCCAGCAUCAUAGAAGGUGGUUGUAGAGUAAUGAGAAGUGUGCGUGUGUGUGUGUAUACACACACACACACACAUAUAUAUAUAUAUAUAUAUAUAUAUAUAUAGGUCAUAGAUGGGAUUCAAAUGGUCUUAUAGAAUACACUAAGUAAGUGCUCAAGAGAUUUAAACUCGAGCAGGUAUAGAAGUGAAUGUAGAGAAAGCAAGUUAGAUCAAUAUAUAAAGUAUAUUAAAUACCUGAAAUACAAAAAAUGUAUAUAUGUAUACAUAUAAAAGGGUCCAACUUACAUAGAAUAUAAAUGAUAUACAGAAUGAAAGGGGUUGAGGAACAGUAAUUCUCUCUAUCAUUUAUAUUCUGUGUAAGUAUAUACAUUUUUGUAUUACAUGUAUUAUAUAUUUUAUAUAUUGAUCCAACUUGUUUAUCUCUACAUUUAUUUUUUAUAUAUGUGUGUGUGUGCGUGUGCGUGUGCGUGUGCGUGUGUGUGUGUGUGUGUGUGUAAAUAUAAGAUCCAGGGAUCAAGGAGUAGGAAGAAAUCUAGCUUCAUGCAAUCUGUAGUAAAUAUUAAAAAAAAAGCAACAAUCAGGAACAAAAGUGAUUUAUUGAGACUGAAGGUCAUGGAUUUUUUUAGGAAUGGUAAGCUGAAAAAAGUUCUUUUUAUAUUUCACAGCAGGUGACCAAAGUUGCUGGGUGUGUGAAUAAGAAUGCAAGAGUUAUGGAAUGAAGUAGGUUAAGAUCCAGGCUAUGUAUGUUUCAUAGUGAGCGGAACCUCAGAAGUGGUAAAAAUCCAAGUGAGGUGUAUACCGCCAGCUACUCAUCAGAAUAUCUUGAUAAAAUUAAUGGUUACAUUGUCAUAAGGAAGAUUCAAUCAGAAUAUAUAUAUGAGACAUAAGUGGCCAUGAUGUUAAGCAGUUUGCUUUAGAACACGUUUACAGUUUGUUCCCAUAGCAUGGACAGUGUCAGCUGGUAUUUUCUAUAGUUGUGGGUCGACCAAUGCCUUGUAGUUGAAAUUUGGUAGAUGGAAACUGAAAAAAGCCCAUCAUCUGUUUUCUUGUUGUUGAAAGAGGCAAGGUUGGCCUAUCUCCACAAGUGGAUGUUUUUGAGGUCAGUGUUCAUGGAAUCAGUGUGGAUUUGGCAUGCAGUGUCUAGGCUGUGAGAGAAUAAUGCAUUGCUGGAGAAUAUUGGAGAGAAAUGAAGAGUAAUGUCAUCAGUCUUAGGGUGAAUGUUGUUAGAUGUGACAGCAAGUAACAGCAUUGAUGAAUAGAAAGGAGAGAGAUAAAAUGAAACUCUAAGGCACUACAAAGUUAUCAAUGAAGGACAGAGAACUUCUUCAAUGCACCCAGCAACAACGUGAUAGAAAACUACCAGGCAUGCAUGCAUGCAUGUGUGUAUAUAUGUAUUAUGUAUGUGUAUAUGUAUGUAUGUGUAUAUGUAUGUGUGUAUGUAUGUGUGUGCCUGAGUGAGGGUGUAUAUUUGUGUAUUCUUCUUGUAUUGAUGUAUGCAUGCUAAUUGUGAUCAAAUGUCACUACCAUACAAGUGGUAUCACUGGUUUACAAUCUUCUAACAAAAAAUGUCCAUCCACCAAACUAUUAUUUGAAGGACUAGGAAAAAUAUUACCUUAAUUUGGAAACAGGGUAAAGUUGGUGACAGGAAGAGCAUUUGGGGAGAAAAAUUUGCUUCAACAAGCUUUGUAUAACCCAUGCAAGUAUAGAAAUGUGGGACAUCAGAACAAUGACCACGCACACACACAUCUAUGUAUGUAUGUAUUUCAAUGGUGGUAUGGUUCAGAAGUUCACUUUCCAGUCAUGUGAUUUCAUGUUCAGUUUCAUUGUGUAGCAUCUUGGGUGAGUGUCUUUUACUACAGCCCCUGGCUGACCAAAGCCAUGUAAGGGAUUUGGUAGUUAGAAGCUGAAAGAACCCUGUUCUACAUACAUGUGUGUGUGUGCGUACAUGUAUUUCUUGACACUGCAUAACAGUUAAUGAGUAUCACAGUCAUAUAAGUGGUGCUGCUCAUUUUCAAUCUUCCUUAAAAUAAUCCCACCAUGAAGAAAUAUUACCUUGCUUGGUAACAAGGGAGAACUGACAAGGGGAAAAGCAUCUGGCUGCCACAACAAAUUUCAUCUGACCCAUGCGAUUAUAGAAAAAUGGACAUGAAUCGAUGACAACAAUAUUUCAAUAGAUAAAGAAUCUAUGUUAUCUAAAUUGCCCUUAUUUAUUUGCUUUUGAAAUACAUGCCACUGACCAUU